This 449-nucleotide ribosomal RNA is filed under the name uncultured bacterium. RNAcentral's name for it is "bacterial SSU rRNA". It matches the Rfam family "Bacterial small subunit ribosomal RNA", at positions 355 to 825 of the family's 1533-position model. The record is from RNAcentral.
UGGGGAAUUUUGGACAAUGGGGGCAACCCUGAUCCAGCCAUGCCGCGUGUGGGAUGAAGGUCUUCGGAUUGUAAACCACUGUCGCGAGGGACGAAGCUCUGACGGUACCUCGAAAGGAAGCACCGGCUAACUCUGUGCCAGCAGCCGCGGUAAUACAGAGGGUGCGAGCGUUGUCCGGAAUCACUGGGCGUAAAGGGCGCGUAGGCGGCCCGGUAAGUAGGGGGUGAAAUCUCAUGGCUCAACUGUGAGGCUGCCUUCUAGACUGCCAGGCUUGAGCACAGUAGAGGCGAGUGGAAUUCCCGGUGUAGCGGUGGAAUGCGUAGAGAUCGGGAAGAACAUCGGUGGCGAAGGCGGCUCGCUGGGCUGUUGCUGACGCUGAGGCGCGAAAGCGUGGGGAGCAAACAGGAUUAGAUACCCAGGUAGUCCCUGAGCGGGCUGGCAAGGCGCAU